CAAUAAAAGGGAGAUAACUUCUAAAGAGGAUGAUGAAAUCCUUAACAGGGUCAUUUGGUAAUAUUAUGCAUGAUGAGGUCUAUCAAUGGUCAUAUUUGGUCUUGGUAACUUUAACAGAAAGAAGGGGCGGGCAUGUCAAAAAAAUGUUGGAAGAAAAAAAAGAAAAAAAAAAAAAAAAAAAAACAUUAGAAAAACAAUAAGGUCUUUCCUCGCGGAGAGGAAAGACCUUAAAAACGGCAGAAUAA
This 245-nucleotide long non-coding RNA is filed under the name Mytilus galloprovincialis (Mediterranean mussel). The record is from RNAcentral. Lineage: Eukaryota; Metazoa; Mollusca; Bivalvia; Mytilida; Mytilidae.